Molecule: transfer RNA, 82 nt
Filed under: Lytechinus variegatus (green sea urchin)
Lineage: Eukaryota; Metazoa; Echinodermata; Echinoidea; Temnopleuroida; Toxopneustidae
Description: tRNA-Ser
Rfam family: tRNA
About the family: Transfer RNA (tRNA) molecules are approximately 80 nucleotides in length. Their secondary structure includes four short double-helical elements and three loops (D, anti-codon, and T loops). Further hydrogen bonds mediate the characteristic L-shaped molecular structure. tRNAs have two regions of fundamental functional importance: the anti-codon, which is responsible for specific mRNA codon recognition, and the 3' end, to which the tRNAs corresponding amino acid is attached (by aminoacyl-tRNA synthetases). tRNAs cope with the degeneracy of the genetic code in two manners: having more than one tRNA (with a specific anti-codon) for a particular amino acid; and 'wobble' base-pairing, i.e. permitting non-standard base-pairing at the 3rd anti-codon position.
Source: RNAcentral
GUUGCGAUGGUCGAGUGGUUAAGGCGUUUGACUAGAAAUCAAAUGGGAUCUUCCCGCGUAGGUCCGAAUCCUACUCGCAACG